This 228-nucleotide long non-coding RNA is filed under the name Capsella rubella. RNAcentral's name for it is "long non-coding RNA (CRUB_LNC001584)". Lineage: Eukaryota; Viridiplantae; Streptophyta; Magnoliopsida; Brassicales; Brassicaceae. The record is from RNAcentral.
GCAUCUGAAGUCGAUAAAACCUGAAGAUAAUCCAUAUUUGCAUAUAUAACUAUUGUCGUUAUUGUGUAUUACUCGGCCUUAACCCAUAUACUGUAUGUUAUAUUAACGUGUAAGAUAUUCUGUAUAUGUUAAUGUUACUGCAUACAAAAAAAAAAAACAAUUAAUCAAGUAGUGAAGGAUCGUUCGAUCCUAAGAAGAUCACUCCCAUAAUAGUUAAGUCAAAAAUCC